This 30-nucleotide non-coding RNA is filed under the name Homo sapiens (human). Lineage: Eukaryota; Metazoa; Chordata; Mammalia; Primates; Hominidae. The record is from RNAcentral.
UGAACCAGUUGAGACCACUUGGCCUGUGCA